GGGGGUAUAGCUCAGUCGGUUAGAGCGCAUCGCUGAUAACGAUGAGGCCCGUGGUUCAAGUCCACGUACCCCCA
RNAcentral lists this transfer RNA (74 nucleotides) under Nocardiopsaceae bacterium. RNAcentral's name for it is "tRNA-Ile". It matches the Rfam family "tRNA". Rfam says of the family: Transfer RNA (tRNA) molecules are approximately 80 nucleotides in length. Their secondary structure includes four short double-helical elements and three loops (D, anti-codon, and T loops). The record is from RNAcentral. Lineage: Bacteria; Bacillati; Actinomycetota; Actinomycetes; Streptosporangiales; Nocardiopsidaceae.